Long non-coding RNA from Gasterosteus aculeatus aculeatus (three-spined stickleback), 2445 nucleotides. The record is from Ensembl. Lineage: Eukaryota; Metazoa; Chordata; Actinopteri; Perciformes; Gasterosteidae.
CUGAGACCUGAGACAUUUGGAUCCAGUUCCGAGGAGGAACAGGUUUGUGUUCUGCUGCACUGGAUGAUUUGGUGCAGGGUGUCCAUGACUGCGGUCAGGUUUGAGCGGUAAGCAUACGACAUUUAGACCUGCUUUUGCCGUCACUGCUGCACCGCAGGCUCAGUGCAACAUUUCACCCGCCUACUGGUGGAUUAAAGCAUCACUUGUCUGUAAAGGAGAGCGGAAGCCUGUGGAAAUAGGCUGGAUAUAGAAGCUGGAUCAGACCCAAACACUGGGCAACACAUUACUGUAAAUGGAAAUUAUAAAAAUAUUAUUUGGCUCAGGAAAUUAAACAAGAGUCUAGAUCCAUAUUUAAUUGGACACACACCAAAUAAUUGUGCUGUAUUGUAAGAUCAUUUUUCUGAAACACAGUAAAUAAAGCAAAAAAUAAAAUGCAUAAAACAAAACAAAAAUAAGAUUCAACCUCCAUCUGUUGAAGGUUUAUUUAGCAAUAAUGACUGUACACGUCUACUACCAGAUACAAUUUUUAUAUCUAAAAGAACAGCUGGUGAAAGUGAGCAGAAAAAACUGUAUGGUGAUUAUUUUUAGAGGCCAAAGAUGUGCGAGUAUACAGUUUAUUGAUGUUAAUCAGAAAUGUGAAUAACAAUUGUGGAUUGAAGGUUACAUGAUGAAUAUAAUGUUGAUCAAGUUAUUUUAUUUUAUAAGCAAAAUGAUUUCUGGUAAAAAGAAACAUUGACCCAUCUUUAGUUUGUUCAUUUUGUUUUACAGUUAACAACCUGCUGGUUUGUGUCACUUUUUUCAUUACGUAAUGUGGUCGGUUAAGAUUAGCCAAGAUGGCGCCUAUGAACUGUAAAGGAAAUUCAUUGCAAAAAACAUUCAAGACAAAUUACAAUACUUUUCAUCAUUCAUUGCAAUUUUUAGCAUAAACCUUCACACUACUGAAUGGGAAACACAUGAAAAAAUCAAAAUGCAUGAGUUACAAAAUACCAUUACAUCAUAAAUUUAAGAAAGAACACUGAUUUAAAUCUGACAAUCUUAUAACGUCUUGCUUAUUUAUACAUCAUUAUUUACAAAUGUGUUUAUCGUUAUGUGAUGAAAGAAUAUCAGUUAGGUUUGAUUAAUGUAAAGUAUAUUAAUACAAAUGUAUUUUACUCUAUUAAUAUAUUUCCACAAAAAGAGUAAAUUAUGGCUGCUUAAAACUACAUCUCAGUGUGUUAGAAACCACGUAUAAUAUGUUUAUAUAAGUUUAUAAAAGCUGAAUGGCUUGGGAGAUGAAAUUCAACGUGUAUUACUGUUCUGCAGUACCAAACGUAAUCACAUUUAGUAUAUAGACCAACUAAAUAGUCACCGUUAAAUCACUAAAAUGCUUAAAACUCAGAGUUCAGCUAACGUUUAACUGGGAAAAAGCUGCUCUGCUGCAGUAAAUUUGUUUCUAACAAGGAGAAAACAGCCCGCUAAAUAUCUCACACGGUACGAGCAGACGUGCCCUUCUCCGUCGUGGUCACUCCUUCAAUCUGAAAGAAAGAAAAAAGAGCACAGAAUGAUGAAAACAAUCUGUCUGCUGUCCCACAGUCACACGUCCUGCAUCACCUGCUUUUUCCACUUGUAACUUCUGCUUUGACCAUGUUUAUGUGGCCUUUGCUUCGACCUUUGACCUCUACGGAGAGACAUCUGUUAGAGGUAAAGGCUCUCUGACAUAAUCAUUCUGCCCAUCCAUUGAUGUGAUUUAUGCUUCUUUUAAGUCCCUGAGUGUGAUGUGACAGGCUUGAGGUUUAUCCAAAUAUUGGUUUGAAUAAAUACAUAAUUGGCCAUUUAUAUAACGUUUUACACUCUACAUCAUUCAAUGAAAACAUCAGGCGCAAGGACAAACUGGUCGGUUGCACUUAUUGCUUAUUUCAAAGUGGCCGAGUUAAUCUGAACUGCUUUCAAUGAAAAAGCGGUUUGAUUUUAGAUCAGGAGUGAGACUGCUGAGGCUCAGGUUGCAGGUAAGACUUCACGCAGAUAUCAGCCAUGCUGAGUUGAGCCACAGGGAUAGAUAGAGAUCUGAGGAGACCAGUUAGCGGCUACAGUGAAACCUCGCUGCUGAAAGAUUGGGAAUUCCAAUGGGGAUUUACUUGUGUGAAAGAAAAUGCUCAACCGAAUCCCAUGCAAGGACUUUCAUCCUCUCAGUCGACCACAAGUAGAAAGCUUCCGAAUUCCAUUCAGGUAGAACAAUUAGAGUUUGUGAACAAGUCAAUUAUUUGGGUUUUGUCUUCUUCUUGAUGUGGUGUGUGAAACCAACAGGACUAACAACUUUGAUGCAAAAAAGGGUUGAAAAUAAACAUUUUAAUUACACUUAAAGUUCUGCAAAUUAAACCACGUUUUGUAUCACUUAACUGAGAUUGAACAUUUCAAACCAGCGAUAAAAUGCAUUAAUUUCUCUAAGGUUGAGUUUCCAGAACCGGA